RNAcentral lists this long non-coding RNA (3760 nucleotides) under Bemisia tabaci. RNAcentral describes it as "lncRNA ENSSSA1UGG006153". The record is from RNAcentral. Lineage: Eukaryota; Metazoa; Arthropoda; Insecta; Hemiptera; Aleyrodidae.
AUGAUGGCUUUCUGGUUCGGAACGGACUUAUCUGACUUCAUGAUCCCUGGAUUUAAUAUUCAUUCAGUCGCAGCUUUCAGUGGAUUAUGUGCUGCUCUUUUUAUCAUAGCAAUAGUGCAUGAAAAUGUCAAGAUUGUGUACGAGUUGCGGAAACUUCAUCGUACCAUUCCCAACCGUUCCUUUUUUAGUUGUUUCUCUGAGAUGUCAGCGCUUUUGACUCAAGAUGCUUCUGGAAGGUACACGAGACCAUCAGCAAGGGAGCUUCAUCCAGUCAGUCAAUUCUUGUGGUUUCUCUCUCAAACAAUCUUAAGUUACUUCUUAAUGCUGAGUGUGAUGACUUUCAAUGGCUACAUUGGCAUAGCAAUUGUUCUUGGAUGUGGACUGGGUUAUUUUCUCUUCAGCUCAGAGUUAGAAAAAACAAUGAUACAUUGCAUUUUUCAAAAGGUUGCAUGUGAUGGACGAAAUCGGCCCUGUGGUGCAAGUAAUCUUGAAACAGAAAAAGUCAGUGACAAAACGGCUCUUUCAGCGAAUGAAAACUGCGAGUGUAAUAGUCCAGACUCCGACUCAUCUUUAACUCCUGACCACAUUUUAACAACUGUUGAAGUGCAUACUUGAAUUUUACAUCCUUGAUCUGAAAUGUCUGAAGUUCGCCGCGUUAUUUCACUUUCUGAUCAUAAAUAUUUAAUUUUUUAAAAUUUCUUUUUACGUCCAUCAAUGGGGAAAGAGUCAGUGAUUUUAAAUGUAGAAUUCUUGCCAAAAAUGAAAGAAUUAUUUGAUAAGCUUUCAUCUAAAGGAAGCUAUUUUAAUGCUCACAAUAUGGACCUCGUUUCAUGACCGAAAAAGAAAAAAUGCUGAAGGAGAAACUGUGUAAUAUUUAUUUUUGUAGCAUAAAGUUUUUCCUCCCCAUGAUGCCUAAAAUUCUGAAGUUUUAGCCUUUUUUAUGGCCAUUUUUAAGGAGCGUCAUAAACUCUAUCAAUUUAUUCAAGUACCUAAUAUUUCUGUGAUAUUUAGUGAUUUGAAAGUUUAAGUUUUCAUUCUUUUGUAAGGACAGUUUUCCUGAUUCAUUGUUAAAGCAUUUAUCAGUAAUUUUAUCAGCCUUGUUAACCGAUUUUAUAAUAUUUUCAUUAGAGCUUCAGUAUUUAUAUUUACCCAGAGACUUCAAUCACAGAAGCAGCAAGAAUUUGGUUUGCUGUUAAAAUUAGUGAAUUCAUCACUUAUUACAUCCUUCUUGAGAAUUACAGUAGUAGUUUCCCCUGUAUUAUAGCUCACUCCUCCUCACAAAGCAAGAGAGCCUUAACCUCAUAGCACUUCUUCCAUAACCGACUUGUUCUAAGCUAAUCAUUCAUUAAUCAACGAUUUCAAUAAGCUUUUUUUUCAGAAAAUUAGUCAGCAAUUCUCUCGCCUAAUGACUUUAAAAAUUGCCUUUUGAUGAUUUUAGAAUGAAAGCUGUACUAAUGAAUUGUUUAUAUCAUAUAUCAUUUAGUUAAAAUAGCAGGACCUCCCCUCUCUCUAUUUUUGCCAAUUCUCCAGUAGAUGAAAUCUUUUCAUAUCAACCAAAAUGAUAAAAUGGAUCAAGAAAAGCUCUUUGCAGGUGGUGACUAAAAGAUAUAUUCGCACCCAUCGAACUAAACGCUUUACACACCCCUCUCAUACUUACUUACCUGAUAAUAAAGCUGAUCUUAAAUUGAGGGUUUGAAGAAUUUUGCAAUGAUCAAGAAGAGGGGCCCAGUCCCGAGCACUUGUGAGGGGUGAGGGAGUGUUGCGCUGAAUGUGAAUGACCAAAGUCUUAUGAAGAAAAAAUUAUGUUGUGUAUCUGUGUAUGCGAUUGUUCUGUAUGUACAGUAUAUCUAUAGUUAGUAUUUGUAUAGUUAAUUGACUUUUGUUCUCAAAAUAAUAUUGAAUGAUCAUCAUAAGUUAGUACUCUCAAAGUGAUAAGCAGACUCUCUAGUGAAAAUGCCAAAAUUAUUCAUCACGAACCAUCUUUCAUUGCAGCACUAUUUCAAGAAGCCGCUUAUGAAAAGGCUCCUAAUCUUUUUUUUGCAUUCGUAGGAGAUACUUUGAGCUCCGAAAGAUGAGUUGUUUUCAGUGUUAUCAAGCAAUUUAACAAGACUGAGUACCUGACUUAUUUUUAAUUGCUUAAAAAGUUAGGUGAAGUUUUUCAUUACUUACCCAUGUAUCCAGAAGUAAGGUGUCGUUAUGCAUAAUUACCUGUCUACUUUUAAUAAUUGACUUACAGUUGAAAUUUAGUGUGCCAAACUGGAGCUCUUUUUAAGGAAGAAGUUUUUAAGGAAGGGUAAAAAGAACUAAUCAGAUCAAGAAAGUACAAGAACUGUUGAAAAUUAUUUUAAUUUAUGGUUAUUUUGUAAGCUCUUGGGCACUUACGACAGAUUCAUUCAAGCUUAUUCUCCUUUGAAUUUUGAGUCCAAUUUUCCAUAACAUUACGUUCUAUUCUUCUUUAAGUGUGGCCAUGUUUCAAUUGAAUAUUCAUUACUUGUUAGUUUUAAAACUCAAUGAUUGUCAGCUAAAUGAGAGAGUUAUUUUUCUCUUUUUGAAAGGAAUUGUUAACCGCUCAUCUUUUGUGUUUCUCCACUCUGUGUAUUUUAAUUCCUAAGUUCCGAAGUAAAAAAUCUUUUAUAAAAGUUCAAAUGUUUAUUUAAACCUAUUAUGACAUUUGUGAGGAGAACCUCUUUUAAUUCACCAUUUAUUUCUCAAAAUGAUUUGACCAGAUAUUUUUUGUAUGGGUCCAUAAGUCAACUUUCCCUUCCAUCCUCCAAGAAGAGAUAUGGUAGGUAACGGCCAAAUAAAUUUACACACUUAGACUCCAACAGAAGAUCUGCCAUCGUGAUUCUUACAUCUACUUCAAAUGCAAAACUGACGGCGGACAAUCUUCUGUCGCAGUCUAUAUGUGCCUAAACUCAUUUAGCCAGGAUUCUACCCACAAUAUUACUGAUGAAAGUUUUAUUGGAUGUGGCAAAAGUCUUGAGACAUGACUGAACAUCAUGAGAGGAUAGUUCAUAUGCCUUUGAUGUGUGUUUCAAGUCGUUUAAUUUUUUUUUCUCUCUUUUUUUAUCUCUCUAUAAUGAUUGGUUUCAAUAUUUCAAGUAUCUUUCGCCAUUCAAAGGGUGAAAAUUCCAAAUUUGGUAUUAAUAUGCCAUCAGGUGUUGCAAAGAUUUUGUAACUAUUUCUGUCUUACAAAAGGAUUUUAAUGUCCCUCGAAUAAUAAUCAUUGUCUUAAGUUAUAGUAGGAUCAAAAGUAAGAGAAAAUUUCCUACUGAAAAUGAAUGAAGCAAAGGCAUUUACUUAGGCUCUUUUACAGAAAGAAUAACUUGCACAAUUUUAGCACCCCCUGCUGGCGCUUACCAGGGUUUUAAUUUCCAUUCUACACUGAUAAAUAAAACUACUUAUACAAAGAAAUCACGUGAAACUUUUUAAUAACGUUUAGUGAGAUAAAAUAUCCUUUGCAUUGUUUCUUGUGUACCUAUCUGCUUUCAAAACUGAACCAAGCGAAGAAGAUUUCCAUCCUAGUAUAAAAGGAUUCAACUUAUUUGGCGCAGACUCUAGUGGUGAAUCUUGACAUGAUUGUGGAAGGAAUGUAAAUUUUAAGAACAGAUUAAGUAAAUUGUGAGAAAAUACUGCCUAUAUUUUAAAAUUAUAAAGUCACCUUUUCUUGCAAUUUCAAAUGGUAGAAAGUAUUACAUUAACUAUCUCAUAAUUAUUGAUUAGCUAAUCAUUUUUUUCUUUGACUUAAUUUGUAAUCAAC